CAGUAGCUGAACCAUUUUACAUCCUUACUAGCAAUGUCUGAGAGUUCGAAUUUCUCCACAUUUUUGCCAACACUUCCUUUCCUUCCUUCUU
Myotis brandtii (Brandt's bat) is the source of this 91-nucleotide long non-coding RNA. RefSeq lists it as uncharacterized. The record is from RefSeq and is a predicted model, not a curated record. The transcript is spliced from 3 exons. Lineage: Eukaryota; Metazoa; Chordata; Mammalia; Chiroptera; Vespertilionidae.